RNAcentral lists this small nucleolar RNA (107 nucleotides) under Eutrema salsugineum. RNAcentral describes it as "Plant small nucleolar RNA R71". It matches the Rfam family "Plant small nucleolar RNA R71". Rfam says of the family: R71 is a member of the C/D box family of snoRNAs containing the C (UGAUGA) and D (CUGA) box motifs. Multiple nearly identical copies of this snoRNA have been identified in Arabidopsis, and it is thought to function as a 2'-O-ribose methylation guide for 18S ribosomal RNA. The record is from Rfam by way of RNAcentral. Lineage: Eukaryota; Viridiplantae; Streptophyta; Magnoliopsida; Brassicales; Brassicaceae.
AACCCAUGGUGAGGGCACUCUCUUCGGUACUCCUUGUACCUCUCCCAAGCUUCGCAGAAAGCUUCACCAGAUUGUUGUUUAAACGACAAGAUCUUGUUCUUCAGAGC